Aotus nancymaae (Ma's night monkey) is the source of this 102-nucleotide unclassified non-coding RNA. It matches the Rfam family "Y RNA". From Rfam's summary of the family: Y RNAs are components of the Ro ribonucleoprotein particle (Ro RNP), in association with Ro60 and La proteins. The Y RNAs and Ro60 and La proteins are well conserved, but the function of the Ro RNP is not known. In humans the RNA component can be one of four small RNAs -- hY1, hY3, hY4 and hY5. The record is from Ensembl. Lineage: Eukaryota; Metazoa; Chordata; Mammalia; Primates; Aotidae.
GAGUGGUUUGAGUUCAGUGGUAUGUACAACUAAUUGAUCAUAAUCAGCAACAGAUUUCUUUGUUCUUUCUCCACUUGCACUGCUUCAUUUGGCUAGCCAUGA